Long non-coding RNA from Carassius auratus (goldfish), 573 nucleotides. RefSeq lists it as uncharacterized. Lineage: Eukaryota; Metazoa; Chordata; Actinopteri; Cypriniformes; Cyprinidae. The record is from RefSeq and is a predicted model, not a curated record. The transcript is spliced from 3 exons.
AGCCCAGCGACAGCCGAGCAGAGCAGCCUCCUCAAGAGCCCAGCAGCGACACUUCAGACAGCAGCAGUCAGUCAGUCUCCCAGUUCCUGUUUCCGCCACGACUCACGAAGCAUCCCUUUCGUUAAAACAUACGCGCUGUGGAGAUACUAAAACGCCAGUGCCAUAUCAAGGGGGAGGGAAUCGUCCUUGCAUUUAUAGGACACACACUCUGGAGCAGAAUCCCUUGCAGUCCCUAGAGGAAUAAGAACUUAUCAGAGCCGUUGGUUCUCUGAAGUGUAGUCUCUUAAGUGAAGUCUCCAAGGAUCUCAAAACCCUCCGCCCAAUCUCUGCGAGGGGCCACUGCCAUGAUAUAACCUCCAAGUCUCUAAGUGCACACGCAAGUUUGACCCAGCGACCCCUGACGUCCCCCUUCCGCUCUAGAGGAGCCCUGAGGUGGAGCGCUUCCACUGAGCUGAGUAUGCCUCAAACUCGGUUGUUGUGAAAGGAGAGUGUGCGCUGGGCAGCUCUAGGCGCCAUGCGUCCGUGGACGGGCUCGUGGCGCUGGAUUAUGCUGGUGCUGCUAGGCCUGGGGCA